AGUUCCAGGAAUAAAAUUUAGAUAUUAUCUUCAGAUCUUUUAUCUCUUAUGUCAAUCAAAUCAAUAUCUCGAUUUGAUGGUCAGAACUUUGCUUCUGCUCGGGUAGUGAGAUAGUGU
Molecule: long non-coding RNA, 117 nt
Organism: Aedes aegypti (yellow fever mosquito)
Lineage: Eukaryota; Metazoa; Arthropoda; Insecta; Diptera; Culicidae
Exons: 3
Source: RefSeq, a predicted model, not a curated record